UUUCUGAAGUCUCAAGAAAGAUUUGUAAUGUUUUGUUAUUUCAGAUACAACUUUUAGUUACCUUUUUGGGUACAGACUAGCGUAAUUACUGUGAGGAAAGAAAUGAAUGACCAAAGUGCUGAUAAACUAAGCCAAAUUCCUGCUAAUUAAACCUCAGAGAAGUGAGACGGUGAGGAAGGGCUAUAAUUAGGAGCCCAAGCCUGCCAUCUUUGCUGUCCUGCAUGGACCAAGUGGGGCAGAGAAUGUGAUAAAAUCUGCUUUGGUGAGGUGCCCUUUGGCAUUACAGAAUCAUGAAGGUUGAAAAAGACCUCUCAGAUCACCUAGUCCGACUGUCAACCCAAUCACCACCAUGCUCAACAACCACAUUGACAUGUAGACAUAAAGCAAAAUUGUUUAUGCAAACCACUGGUCUGACACCUGCAAGAUCAUAGCACUUAUGCAGAGACAAUGGGAACAUUGUAGUAAGAACCAGGAUGUGAACCAGUCUGCACCAGCACUGUGGUCUCAAAAACCACCGAGAGAGCCAAAGGUGAGAAGGACACCAGGAAACCUUCAUGAGGAAGACUUAGAGAAGACCUCUGCCCAGGACGACCAGAGAGCAGCACGCACGUGCACAGAGCCAUCUGCUUAAAAGAUAAAGAGAAGAGAAAACUCUCAGAGAAAUGAAUUGCCU
RNAcentral lists this long non-coding RNA (673 nucleotides) under Gallus gallus (chicken). Its description in RNAcentral is "long non-coding RNA NONGGAT008803". Lineage: Eukaryota; Metazoa; Chordata; Aves; Galliformes; Phasianidae. The record is from RNAcentral.